Molecule: ribosomal RNA, 253 nt
Filed under: uncultured bacterium
Lineage: Bacteria
Description: partial 16S ribosomal RNA
Rfam family: Bacterial small subunit ribosomal RNA
Source: RNAcentral
UACGUAGGUCGCAAGCGUUGUCCGGAUUUACUGGGCGUAAAGAGCGCGCAGGCGGCUGGUCAAGUCCGAUGUGAAAUCUCCCGGCUCAACUGGGAAACUGCAUCGGAAACUGAUCGGCUUGAAGAUGGGAGAGGGUAGUGGAAUUCCCGGUGUAGUGGUGAAAUGCGUAGAUAUCGGGAGGAACACCAGUGGCGAAGGCGACUACCUGGCCCAUUCUUGACGCUGAGGCGCGAAAGCUAGGGUAGCAAACGGG